GACGAACGCUGGCGGCGUGCCUAAUACAUGCAAGUCGAACGCACUCUCGUUUAGAUUGAAGGAGCUUGCUCCUGAUUGAUAAACAUUUGAGUGAGUGGCGGACGGGUGAGUAACACGUGGGUAACCUGCCCUAAAGUGGGGGAUAACAUUUGGAAACAGAUGCUAAUACCGCAUAAAACCUAAACACCGCAUGGUGUAGGGUUGAAAGAUGGUUUCGGCUAUCACUUUAGGAUGGACCCGCGGUGCAUUAGUUAGUUGGUGAGGUAAAGGCUCACCAAGACCGUGAUGCAUAGCCGACCUGAGAGGGUAAUCGGCCACACUGGGACUGAGACACGGCCCAGACUCCUACGGGAGGCAGCAGUAGGGAAUCUUCCACAAUGGACGAAAGUCUGAUGGAGCAACGCCGCGUGAGUGAAGAAGGUUUUCGGAUCGUAAAACUCUAGUUGUUGGAGAAGAAUGUAUCUGAUAGUAACUGAUCAGGUAGUGACGGUAUCCAACCAGAAAGCCAACGG
RNAcentral lists this ribosomal RNA (512 nucleotides) under uncultured bacterium. RNAcentral's name for it is "bacterial SSU rRNA". It matches the Rfam family "Bacterial small subunit ribosomal RNA", at positions 28 to 497 of the family's 1533-position model. The record is from RNAcentral.